GAAUAUUGGACAAUGGGCGCAAGCCUGAUCCAGCCAUGCCGCGUGUGUGAAGAAGGCCUUCGGGUUGUAAAGCACUUUCAGCGAGGAGGAAGGGUGUUGUGUUAAUAGCACAGCAUUUUGACGUUACUCGCAGAAGAAGCACCGGCUAACUCCGUGCCAGCAGCCGCGGUAAUACGGAGGGUGCAAGCGUUAAUCGGAAUUACUGGGCGUAAAGCGCACGUAGGCGGUGUGUUAAGUUGGAUGUGAAAGCCCCGGGCUCAACCUGGGAACUGCAUCCAAAACUGGCAAGCUAGAGUAUGGCAGAGGGUGGUGGAAUUUCCUGUGUAGCGGUGAAAUGCGUAGAUAUAGGAAGGAACACCAGUGGCGAAGGCGACCACCUGGGCUAAUACUGACACUGAGGUGCGAAAGCGUGGGGAGCAAACAGG
Molecule: ribosomal RNA, 425 nt
Filed under: uncultured bacterium
Lineage: Bacteria
Description: bacterial SSU rRNA
Rfam family: Bacterial small subunit ribosomal RNA
Source: RNAcentral